AGUGAACGCUGGCGGUAGGCCUAACACAUGCAAGUCGAACGGCAGCACAGUAAGAGCUUGCUCUUACGGGUGGCGAGUGGCGGACGGGUGAGGAAUACAUCGGAAUCUACUUUUUCGUGGGGGAUAACGUAGGGAAACUUACGCUAUACCGCAUACGACCUACGGGUGAAAGCAGGGGAUCUUCGGACCUUGCGCGAUUGAAUGAGCCGAUGUCGGAUUAGCUAGUUGGCGGGGUAAAGGCCCACCAAGGCGACGAUCCGUAGCUGGUCUGAGAGGAUGAUCAGCCACACUGGAACUGAGACACGGUCCAGACUCCUACGGGAGGCAGCAGUGGGGAAUACUGGACAAUGGGCGCAAGCCUGAUCCAGCCAUACCGCGUGGGUGAAGAAGGCCUUCGGGUUGUAAAGCCCUUUUGUUGGGAAAGAAAAGCAGCAGGUUAAUACCCCGCUGUUCUGACGGUACCCAAAGAAUAAGCACCGGCUAACUUCGUG
Molecule: ribosomal RNA, 491 nt
Filed under: uncultured bacterium
Lineage: Bacteria
Description: partial 16S ribosomal RNA
Rfam family: Bacterial small subunit ribosomal RNA
Source: RNAcentral